This 434-nucleotide ribosomal RNA is filed under the name Babesia odocoilei. Its description in RNAcentral is "SSU rRNA". It matches the Rfam family "Eukaryotic small subunit ribosomal RNA", at positions 553 to 1038 of the family's 1831-position model. The record is from RNAcentral. Lineage: Eukaryota; Apicomplexa; Aconoidasida; Piroplasmida; Babesiidae.
GGGCAAGUCUGGUGCCAGCAGCCGCGGUAAUUCCAGCUCCAAUAGCGUAUAUUAAACUUGUUGCAGUUAAAAAGCUCGUAGUUGAAUUUCUGCGUCACCGUAUUUUGACUUUUGUCGACUGUCGGUUUCGCUUUUGGGAUUUAUCCCUUUUUACUUUGAGAAAAUUAGAGUGUUUCAAGCAGACUUUUGUCUUGAAUACUUCAGCAUGGAAUAAUAGAGUAGGACUUUGGUUCUAUUUUGUUGGUUUGUGAACCUUAGUAAUGGUUAAUAGGAACGGUUGGGGGCAUUCGUAUUUAACUGUCAGAGGUGAAAUUCUUAGAUUUGUUAAAGACGAACUACUGCGAAAGCAUUUGCCAAGGACGUUUUCAUUAAUCAAGAACGAAAGUUAGGGGAUCGAAGACGAUCAGAUACCGUCGUAGUCCUAACCAUAAACU